GCCAGUGUGGUGUAGUGAUUUGAAUAUUGGACUAUGACCCUGAAGAUCAGGGUUCAAAUCCCUCCUCAGCCA
Non-coding RNA from Phrynosoma platyrhinos (Desert horned lizard), 72 nucleotides. Lineage: Eukaryota; Metazoa; Chordata; Lepidosauria; Squamata; Phrynosomatidae. The record is from the annotation of a GenBank genome assembly.